CUACGGGAUGCAGCAGUGGGGAAUAUUGCACAAUGGGCGCAAGCCUGAUGCAGCCAUGCCGCGUGUAUGAAGAGGGCCUUCGGGUUGUAAAGUACUUUCAGCGGGGAGGAAGGGAGUAAAGUUAAUACCUUUGCUCAUUGACGUUACCCGCAGAAGAAGCACCGGCUAACUCGCGUGCCAGCAGCCGCGGUAAUACGGAGGGUGCAAGCGUUAAUCGGAAUUACUGGGCGUGAAGCGCACGCAGGCGGUUUGUUAAGUCAGAUGUGAAAUCCCCGGGCUCAACCGGGGAACUGCACCUGAUACUGGCAAGCUCGAGUCUCGGAGAGGGGGGUAGAAUUCCAGGUGUAGCGGUGAAAUGCGUAGAGAUCUGGAGGAAUACCGGUGGCGAAGGCGGCCCCCUGGACGAAGACUGACGCUCAGGUGCGAAAGCGUGGGGAGCAAACAGGAUUAGAUACCCUCGUAGUC
RNAcentral lists this ribosomal RNA (465 nucleotides) under uncultured bacterium. RNAcentral's name for it is "partial 16S ribosomal RNA". It matches the Rfam family "Bacterial small subunit ribosomal RNA", at positions 339 to 795 of the family's 1533-position model. The record is from RNAcentral.